AUACGGAGGGUGCGAGCGUUAAUCGGAAUUACUGGGCGUAAAGCGUACGUAGGCGGUUUGCUAAGUCAGAUGUGAAAGCCCCGGGCUUAACCUGGGAACUGCAUUUGAUACUGGCAGACUAGAGUAUGAUAGAGGGGGGUAGAAUUCCUGGUGUAGCGGUGAAAUGCGUAGAUAUCAGGAGGAAUACCAGUGGCGAAGGCGGCCCCCUGGAUCAAUACUGACGCUGAGGUACGAAAGCAUGGGGAGCGAACAGGAUUAGAAACCCCAGUAGUCC
RNAcentral lists this ribosomal RNA (274 nucleotides) under uncultured bacterium. RNAcentral's name for it is "partial 16S ribosomal RNA". It matches the Rfam family "Bacterial small subunit ribosomal RNA", at positions 523 to 796 of the family's 1533-position model. The record is from RNAcentral.